This 584-nucleotide ribosomal RNA is filed under the name uncultured Propionibacteriaceae bacterium. RNAcentral's name for it is "bacterial SSU rRNA". It matches the Rfam family "Bacterial small subunit ribosomal RNA", at positions 897 to 1482 of the family's 1533-position model. Lineage: Bacteria; Bacillati; Actinomycetota; Actinomycetes; Propionibacteriales; Propionibacteriaceae. The record is from RNAcentral.
AAACUUAAAGGAAUUGACGGGGGCCCGCACAAGCGGCGGAGCAUGCGGAUUAAUUCGAUGCAACGCGAAGAACCUUACCUGGGUUUGACAUAUACCGGAAACAUCUGGAGACAGGUGCCCCGCAAGGUCGGUAUACAGGUGGUGCAUGGCUGUCGUCAGCUCGUGUCGUGAGAUGUUGGGUUAAGUCCCGCAACGAGCGCAACCCUCGUUCUAUGUUGCCAGCGGUUCGGCCGGGAACUCAUAGAAGACUGCCGGGGUCAACUCGGAGGAAGGUGGGGAUGACGUCAAGUCAUCAUGCCCCUUAUGUCCAGGGCUUCACGCAUGCUACAAUGGCUGGUACAAAGGGCUGCAAUACCGCAAGGUGGAGCGAAUCCCAUAAAGCCAGUCUCAGUUCGGAUUGGGGUCUGCAACUCGACCCCAUGAAGUCGGAGUCGCUAGUAAUCGCAGAUCAGCAACGCUGCGGUGAAUACGUUCCCGGGCCUUGUACACACCGCCCGUCAAGUCAUGAAAGUCGGUAACACCCGAAGCCGGUGGCCUAACCCUUGUGGAGGGAGCCGUCGAAGGUGGGACCGGUAAUUAGGACU